RNAcentral lists this ribosomal RNA (1367 nucleotides) under marine sediment metagenome. RNAcentral's name for it is "bacterial LSU rRNA". It matches the Rfam family "Bacterial large subunit ribosomal RNA", at positions 794 to 2073 of the family's 2925-position model. The record is from RNAcentral.
AACUGGGGGGAUGACCUGUGGUUAGGGGUGAAAGGCCAAGCAAACUCGGUGAUAGCUGGUUCUCCGCGAAAUGCAUUUAGGUGCAGCGUUGCGUGUUCAGCCAUGGAGGUAGAGCUACUGGAUGGGUUAGGGGACCUACAAGUUUACCGACCCCAACCAAACUCCGAAUACCAUGGCUCCAGAGCGCAGCAGUGAGACCUAGGGGGAUGAGCUUCUAUGGUCGAGAGGGAAACAGCCCAGACCGCCAGCUAAGGCCCCUAAUUCUGGACUAAGUGGUAAACGAUGUGAGACUGCUCAGACAGCCAGGAGGUUGGCUUAGAAGCAGCCAUCCUUUAAAGAGUGCGUAAUAGCUCACUGGUCGAGUGGUCUUGCGCGGACAAUGUAACGGGGCUCAAGUCCAGAGCCGAAGCUGCGGAUGCAGUAGUAAUACUGCGUGGUAGCGGAGCGUCGAUCUCUGCAUUGAAGCGACGGGAGAACCCGUCGUGGAGCGUGGUCGAGUGCGAAUGUUGGCAUGAGUAGCGAAAGAGGAGUGAGAAUCUCCUCCGCCGAAUAUCUAAGGGUUCCUGGGGAAGGUUCGUCCGCCCAGGGUUAGUCGGGAGCUAACGCGAGGCCGAGAGGCGUAGUGGAUGCACAACUGGUUGAUAUUCCAGUACCGACGGGAGCACGUCCGAACCAAUUUGUUGUUGCUAAGAGGCUGUUUGCCUUCGGGUAAGCGAAUCGACCCACGAUGAGGCGGUUAGCAAUGGAGUGACGCAGGAAGAUAGGUGAUCCCAGGCGUUGGUUGUCCUGGGGGAAGUGCGUAGGGCGGGGCCCAGGUAAAUCCGGUCCCCAUGAAGCCUGAGACACGAUCCCGAGUCGUUCAGACGAAGUCAUUGAUUCUCUACUGCCAAGAAAAGCUUCUAGCGAGUUCUCCUGUUGCCCGUACCCUAAACCGACACAGGUAGAUAGGUCGAGAAGACCAAGGCGAGUGAGUGAACUGUGGUUAAGGAACUCGGCAAAAUACCUCUGUAACUUCGGGAUAAAGAGGGCCCCUAGGGUGACCGGACUUGCUCCGUGAGCUUGAUGGGGUGGCACAAACCAGAGGGAAGCGACUGUUUACUAAAAACACAGGAGCGUGCGAAGCCGUAAGGCGAUGUAUACGCUCUGACGCCUGCCCGGUGCUGGAAGGUUACGGGGAGCGGUUAGACUUCGGUCGAAGCUGCGAACUUAAGCCCCAGUAAACGGCGGCGGUAACUAUAACCGUCCUAAGGUAGCGAAAUUCCUUGUCGGGUAAGUUCCGACCUGCACGAAUGGCGUAACGACUUCCCUACUGUCUCAACCACAGACUCAGCGAAAUUGAAGUACGAGUAAAGAUGCUCGUUAGCUGC